UACGAGGGGGGCGAGCGUUGUUCGGAAUUAUUGGGCGUAAAGGGUGCGUAGGCGGUUUGUCGCGUCGGGAGUGAAAACUCAGGGCUUAACCCUGAGCCUGCUUCCGAUACGGGCAGACUAGAGGUAUGCAGGGGAGAACGGAAUUCCUGGUGUAGCGGUGAAAUGCGCAGAUAUCAGGAGGAACACCGGUGGCGAAGGCGGUUCUCUGGGCAUUACCUGACGCUGAGGAGCGAAAGUGUGGGGAGCGAACAGG
RNAcentral lists this ribosomal RNA (253 nucleotides) under uncultured bacterium. RNAcentral's name for it is "partial 16S ribosomal RNA". It matches the Rfam family "Bacterial small subunit ribosomal RNA", at positions 524 to 776 of the family's 1533-position model. The record is from RNAcentral.